This 24-nucleotide non-coding RNA is filed under the name Arabidopsis thaliana (thale cress). The record is from RNAcentral. Lineage: Eukaryota; Viridiplantae; Streptophyta; Magnoliopsida; Brassicales; Brassicaceae.
UCUCUGGUUUCAACUGCAAGGCCU